RNAcentral lists this ribosomal RNA (254 nucleotides) under uncultured bacterium. Its description in RNAcentral is "partial 16S ribosomal RNA". It matches the Rfam family "Bacterial small subunit ribosomal RNA", at positions 524 to 777 of the family's 1533-position model. The record is from RNAcentral.
UACGUAGGGACCAAGCGUUGUUCGGAUUUACUGGGCGUAAAGGGCGCGUAGGCGGUGUGUCAAGUCAGGCGUGAAAGCCCCGGGCUCAACCUGGGAACAGCGCUUGAGACUGGCACGCUCGAGUUCGGGAGAGGAUGGUGGAAUUCCCAGUGUAGAGGUGAAAUUCGUAGAUAUUGGGAAGAACACCGAUGGCGAAGGCAGCCAUCUGGACCGACACUGACGCUGAGGCGCGAAAGCGUGGGGAGCAAACAGGG